Patella vulgata (common limpet) is the source of this 843-nucleotide long non-coding RNA. RefSeq lists it as uncharacterized. Lineage: Eukaryota; Metazoa; Mollusca; Gastropoda; Patellidae. The record is from RefSeq and is a predicted model, not a curated record. The transcript is spliced from 5 exons.
GAUCUUGGUGAACCGUAUCCAGAAUUAGAGAUGGUUGUAGCUCUCUUGUCUAAAGGCCCAGUGGGUAUCGGUGAUAGAGUAAACUUUGCUAACAGUUCAAUAAUCAAAAAGUGCUGUUCUUCUGAUGGUAAAUUAUUACAACCAAUGCGUCCAGCUAAAGCCAUAGAUUUACAGAUUAUAGAGUCGGCUUUUAAAGAUGGCAGCGGGCCUGAUGGUGAAGUAUGGUCUACAUACACAAAUAUACCCUCUGUAGGGAUGUCUGUUUCCGGCAAUGCUACGUAUGGUGUUAUUUUUGCUGCUGGGUUAACAAAGCCCUUCGACAUCACACCAGAAAAUACCCACUUAAAUUUUGAUGUGUCAAAAAUUCACAAUGAUUUUCCAAAGAGUAAAAUAUACAGAUGGAAUGAACCGGGCGUGUUCUAUGACUUUUCUAAAGACAUCAAGUUCACUUUACAGAAUUGUACUUUAGACAAUUUUUGUUUGUAUUAUACGGCUCCUAUUAUUGAAUUUGAUGGUCAAGAAGUUGUGAUACUGGGUGAAUUGGACAAAUGGAUCCAUAUGCCAUACCAAAGAGUUACACAAAUUUCAGUUACUGAUACAAUAGAUAUGGAAAUCAACGGUGCUGCCAACGAAGAAGUGGAAAUCUGGAUUGCUGUGAAUGGCAAUAUAGGUGCCAUAGCAACUAGAACCGACGACAAUGGAUUGGCGCGUUUUAAAUAUGAGCGCAAACAUACGAAUGGAGCAGAUUACCUUCAAUUCUCACUCAAGACGUUGCUUGCAUGUGUUGUUUGUAUAUUAUUGUCACCGUAUUUAAGAGCAUAAAUGAAAUGAGCUGUAUCAUUA